RNAcentral lists this ribosomal RNA (1489 nucleotides) under metagenome. RNAcentral describes it as "bacterial SSU rRNA". It matches the Rfam family "Bacterial small subunit ribosomal RNA". The record is from RNAcentral.
AGAGUUUGAUCCUGGCUCAGGACGAACGCUGGCGGCGUGCCUAACACAUGCAAGUCACGGGGGCUUGGUAGCAAUACCGAGUAACCGGCGAACGGGUGCGGAACACGUGAGCAAUCUGCCGAUUUCUGGGGGAUAGCCGGCCCAACGGCCGGGUAAUACCGCGUACUCUCACCGGGGGACAUCCUCUGGUGAGCAAACCUACGGGGGAGAUCGAGGAGCUCGCGUCCUAUCAGCUAGUUGGCGGGGUAACGGCCCACCAAGGCUACGACGGGUAGCUGGUCUGAGAGGAUGGCCAGCCACAUUGGGACUGCGACACGGCCCAGACUCCUACGGGAGGCAGCAGUGGGGAAUAUUGCGCAAUGGACGAAAGUCUGACGCAGCGACGCCGCGUGUGGGAUGAAGCUCUUCGGGGUGUAAACCACUGUUGCCCGGGACGAAACUCCCCUUUUUGGGGGACUGACGGUACCGGGUGAGGAAGCACCGGCUAACUCUGUGCCAGCAGCCGCGGUAAUACAGAGGGUGCGAGCGUUGUCCGGAAUCACUGGGCGUAAAGGGCGCGUAGGUGGCUCGUUAAGCGUGUGGUGAAAGCCUGGGGCUCAACCCCAGGUCUGCCGUGCGGACUGGCGAGCUUGAGCAUAGUAGAGGCGGGUGGAAUUCCGGGUGUAGCGGUGGAAUGCGUAGAUAUCCGGAAGAACACCGGUGGCGAAGGCGGCCCGCUGGGCUAUUGCUGACACUGAGGCGCGACAGCGUGGGGAGCAAACAGGAUUAGAUACCCUGGUAGUCCACGCCGUAAACGAUGGGUACUAGGCGUCUGGGGGAGCGACCCCCUGGGUGCCGUCGCUAACGCAUGAAGUACCCCGCCUGGGGAGUACGGCCGCAAGGCUGAAACUCAAAGGAAUUGACGGGGGCCCGCACAAGCGGUGGAGCAUGUGGUUUAAUUCGACGCAACGCGAAGAACCUUACCUGGGCUUGACAUGCUGGAGAAAGCUCGCAGAAACGUGAGCCCCUCUUCGGAGUUCCAGCACAGAUGCUGCAUGGCUGUCGUCAGCUCGUGUCGUGAGAUGUUGGGUUAAGUCCCGCAACGAGCGCAACCCUCAUCCCUAGUUACCAGCGGGUAAAGCCGGGAACUCUAGGGGGACUGCCGGUGCUAAACCGGACGAAGGUGGGGACGACGUCAAGUCAUCAUGGCUCUUACGUCCAGGGCUACACACGUGCUACAAUGGGCCAGACAAAGGGCUGCCAACCCGCGAGGGGGAGCCAAUCCCAUAAACUGGUCCUCAGUUCGGAUUGCAGUCUGCAACUCGACUGCAUGAAGCUGGAAUCGCUAGUAAUCGUGGAUCAGCUACGCCACGGUGAAUACGUUCCCGGGCCUUGUACACACCGCCCGUCACGCCAUGGAAGCUGUGAGUGCCCGAAGUCGGUGCCGGAACCGCAAGGACCAAGCCGCCGAAGGCAAGCGCAGUGACUGGGGCGAAGUCGCAACAAGGUA